Molecule: ribosomal RNA, 271 nt
Filed under: uncultured bacterium
Lineage: Bacteria
Description: partial 16S ribosomal RNA
Rfam family: Bacterial small subunit ribosomal RNA
Source: RNAcentral
UACGAAGGGUGCAAGCGUUAAUCGGAAUUACUGGGCGUAAAGCGCGCGUAGGUGGUUCAGCAAGUUGGAUGUGAAAGCCCUGGGCUCAACCUGGGAACUGCAUCCAAAACUACUGAGCUAGAGUACGGUAGAGGGUAGUGGAAUUUCCAGUGUAGCGGUGAAAUGCGUAGAGAUUGGAAGGAACAUCAGUGGCGAAGGCGGCCACCUGGACUGAUACUGACGCUGAGGUGCGAAAGCGUGGGUAGCAAACAGGAUUAGAUACCCUUGUAGU